CCUANGGUGGGCAGCAGUCGAGAAUAUUCGACAAUGGGCGAAAGCCUGAUCGAGCGACGCCGCGUGCAGGAUGAAACAUUUCGGUGCGUAAACUGCUUUUCUACGGGAGGAAGUCCGGUCAUUCGUGAUCGGUUUGACAGUACCGUGGGAAUAAGUGGCUGCAAACUUCGUGCCAGCAGCAGCGGUAAUACGAAGGCCACAAGCGUUAUCCGGAUUUAUUGGGCGUAAAGCGCAUGUAGGAGGUUCGGUAAGUUUCUGGUUAAAUCUUAGGGCUCAACCCUGAGCAUGCCAGGAAUACUGCCAGACUAGAGGGUGUUAGAGGCAGAUGGAACGCACGGUGUAGGGGUGAAAUCCGUUGAUAUCGUGCGGAACACCAAAGGCGAAGGCAUUCUGCUGGGACAUUCCUGACUCUGAGAUGCGAAAGCGUGGGGAGCAAAAAGGAUUAGAUACCCGGNUANUC
RNAcentral lists this ribosomal RNA (460 nucleotides) under uncultured bacterium. RNAcentral's name for it is "bacterial SSU rRNA". It matches the Rfam family "Bacterial small subunit ribosomal RNA", at positions 338 to 795 of the family's 1533-position model. The record is from RNAcentral.